This 237-nucleotide long non-coding RNA is filed under the name Lathyrus oleraceus (garden pea). RNAcentral describes it as "Pisum sativum (pea) long non-coding RNA (PSAT_LNC034607)". Lineage: Eukaryota; Viridiplantae; Streptophyta; Magnoliopsida; Fabales; Fabaceae. The record is from RNAcentral.
UUGGGAUUCCAUUCCAUUGUUUAUAGUUUGAAGAGGUCAGUUCAACUACAACUAAUCAUGAUCAGUCAUCUGCUGCCAUCCUAUCUUCAGUCAGAAGUGCCAAGCAGACUUUGGAGAAAGGGCCAUUAGCCGAUUGGGUAAAAGUUGUCAAUUUGGAAGAGAAGUGUGACAGGUUCAGUAUGGGUUAUUCUCCAUCAGUUUGCAAAGCAAGCCCGAAGAAGAAACAGUUUAACCCGG